CUUCAUUAUUGACCCAGCAACUUCUAGAAUGCUGAUAUAACACUUCAGAUUUUAUGCCCAUGUUAAUAUGCGAGUGAAUGAGGGAGUGAGGGAGUGAGUAAAAGU
Long non-coding RNA from Haliotis rubra (blacklip abalone), 105 nucleotides. RefSeq lists it as uncharacterized. The record is from RefSeq and is a predicted model, not a curated record. Lineage: Eukaryota; Metazoa; Mollusca; Gastropoda; Lepetellida; Haliotidae. The transcript has 3 exons.